GGCGGCGCCCCUGCCUUUGGGGAGCGGCUCUCUCCUCUUCCUGCCGAACAUGUUAGUUGAAAGUUGCUCGUCAACGAUAUCCCGCUGAAACAAACUACAAGACACGACGAGGGCAAGUGAGAUGAUCUCCAGGAUGUAGAAGACCAGCUCCAUGACCACGGGACCCUCGCUAAGCUGGCAUGCGCCGCCGUGGAUGACGGGGAUGAGUGCGCUGUCCAAGUCACUAAGGUACUCCGGAGGAAGAGGCUGCCCGUUGCUGCCCGCCAGGUAGCCCACCUGGAAAGGGAACAAAAACAACGGAUCACUUUGCCAUUGGCCUUGAACUCGGAACCAUGGAAGAUCUUCACGCUGGCGAUGGACUCCAUCGACUUGCUGUCAAUUGGACUGAUGACACUGAAAUGAAACAGUUUUUAGGUCUUUAGUUCGGCCUCGUGGGAGGUCAGGGCUGUAUGGAGUGCCACGCCAGCCGUCUUUGAAAAGGCCCAAGUUCUCACCCCUUGUUGAAGUCAUGGUCGUCGUCAGUCCACUGGAUGUGCACCAGCUCCUGGUUGUCCUCCUGCUCAGCUUUACCGCACGUGAUGGUGAAGUCUUUCAUGUCCCUCAGCGCUUGCCGUAGAGCAUCCAUGGUCUCGGCCGUGAUCUGGAUCAUCACGCCGUCUGAGAAAGUAGACAGGAUGACGCCAUAGCGUUAAUUGUACAGGCAUAACACAGUAAAAAAAAUACGAGCUGGGAUGUAGGAGACAGCAGCUCCUCCGUGAGUACGCUCAUUGUGUUUGUGUUUUAUUGUUCUCCUGGCAUUCAAUAAAUGGCUGAAAAGUACAUCAGCAGCGCUGCCAACCAAUAGAAAUUCACUUCCAGAACAAUAUAUCCAAAUUUGUCUGAAUAUUCAUAUUUUCUAAGUUUUGUCAAAAACACUAUCGUGGAACAGAUCAGAUCUCAAAAGUCAAUUAAAACUCAGCACUCUAUUUUGCAAAGAAACAAAUAACAUUGCUGAUAGAUUGAAUUGGAUAGUUCAUGCAUGGACAAUAGUUUAGAUUUCUAUUUUGUGAAUGUACUUGUAUAGCUGUCUUCUCUUUUCUGGGUGUUGUUGAUAAAUGGCUUUUGCUUUGCAGAGUAGAGUUUCAAGUUGCACUUAGGGAUGUAGCGCCGAACUGUAUUUACUGACAUUGGUUUUCUGAAGUGUUCCUGAGCCCACGUGGUUAUAUACUUUCCACAUUGAUGUCGGUUUUUGAUACAGUGUCGCCUGAGGGAUCGAAGGUCACGGGCAUUCAAUGUUGGUUUUCGGCCUUGCCGCUUACAUGCAGUGAUUUCUCCAGAUUCUCUGAACCUUUUGAUGAUAUUAUGGACUGUAGAUGAUGAAAUCCCUAAAUUUCUUGCAAUAGUAUGUUGAGGAACAUUGUCCUUAAACUGUUCGACUAUUUUCUCAAGCACUUGUUCACAAAGAGGUGAACCUCGCCCCAUCUUUGCUUGUGAAUGACUGAGCAAUUCAAGGAAGCUCCUUUUAUACCCAACCAUGGCACUCACCUGUUCCCAAUUAGCCUGUUCACCUGUGGGAUGUUCCAAACAGGUGUUUGAUGAGCAUUCCUCAACUUUCUCAGUCUUUUUU
Phycodurus eques (leafy seadragon) is the source of this 1606-nucleotide long non-coding RNA. RefSeq lists it as uncharacterized. Lineage: Eukaryota; Metazoa; Chordata; Actinopteri; Syngnathiformes; Syngnathidae. The record is from RefSeq and is a predicted model, not a curated record. The transcript has 4 exons.